ACAGCAGUCGCCGCGGUAAUACGAAGGGUGCAAGCGUUAAUCGGAAUUACUGGGCGUAAAGCGUGCGUAGGCGGUUUGUUAAGUCUGUUGUGAAAUCCCCGGGCUCAACCUGGGAAUUGCAGUGGAUACUGGGUCACUAGAGUGUGGUAGAGGAUAGUGGAAUUUCCGGUGUAGCAGUGAAAUGCGUAGAGAUCGGAAGGAACAUCUGUGGCGAAGGCGACUAUCUGGGCCAACACUGACACUGAGGCACGAAAGCGUGGGGAGCAAACAGGAUUAGAUACCCCAGUAGUCCCUGUCUCUUAUAC
This 305-nucleotide ribosomal RNA is filed under the name uncultured bacterium. RNAcentral describes it as "partial 16S ribosomal RNA". It matches the Rfam family "Bacterial small subunit ribosomal RNA", at positions 508 to 807 of the family's 1533-position model. The record is from RNAcentral.